RNAcentral lists this ribosomal RNA (434 nucleotides) under uncultured Clostridium sp. RNAcentral describes it as "partial 16S ribosomal RNA". It matches the Rfam family "Bacterial small subunit ribosomal RNA", at positions 341 to 792 of the family's 1533-position model. Lineage: Bacteria; Bacillati; Bacillota; Clostridia; Eubacteriales; Clostridiaceae. The record is from RNAcentral.
ACGGGAGGCAGCAGUGGGGGAUAUUGCACAAUGGGGGAAACCCUGAUGCAGCGACGCCGCGUGAGUGAAGAAGUAUUUCGGUAUGUAAAGCUCUAUCAGCAGGAAAGAUAAUGACGGUACCUGACUAAGAAGCACCGGCUAAAUACGUGCCAGCAGCCGCGGUAAUACGUAGGGGGCAAGCGUUAUCCGGAUUUACUGGGUGUAAAGGGAGCGUAGACGGCUUUGUAAGCCUGAUGUGAAAGGCAGGGGCUCAACUCCUGGACUGCAUUGGAUACUACAGAGCUUGAGUGCCGGAGAGGUAAGCGGAAUUCCUAGUGUAGCGGUGAAAUGCGUAGAUAUUAGGAGGAACACCAGUGGCGAAGGCGGCUUACUGGACGGUAACUGACGUUGAGGCUCGAAAGCGUGGGGAGCAAACAGGAUUAGAUACCCUGGUA